Molecule: ribosomal RNA, 497 nt
Filed under: uncultured bacterium
Lineage: Bacteria
Description: partial 16S ribosomal RNA
Rfam family: Bacterial small subunit ribosomal RNA
Source: RNAcentral
GACGAACGCUGGCGGCGUGCCUAAUACAUGCAAGUAGAACGCUGAAGAGAGGAGCUUGCUCUUCUUGGAUGAGUUGCGAACGGGGGAGUAACGCGUAGGUAACCUGCCUUGUAGCGGGGGAUAACUAUUGGAAACGAUAGCUAAUACCGCAUAACAAUGGAUGACACAUGUCAUUGAUUUGAAAGGGGCAAUUGCUCCACUACAAGAUGGACCUGCGUUGUAUUAGCUAGUAGGUGAGGUAAUGGCUCACCUAGGCGACGAUACAUAGCCGACCUGAGAGGGUGAUCGGCCACACUGGGACUGAGACACGGCCCAGACUCCUACGGGAGGCAGCAGUAGGGAAUCUUCGGCAAUGGGGGCAACCCUGACCGAGCAACGCCGCGUGAGUGAAGAAGGUUUUCGGAUCGUAAAGCUCUGUUGUAAGUCAAGAACGGGUGUGAGAGUGGAAAGUUCACACUGUGACGGUAGCUUACCAGAAAGGGACGGCUAACUACGUG